CCAAAACGAUCCUUGAACUACACUUGAUUAACCUGAACGAACCGCUCACUUAAGGAACUCAAGCUUUAAAGAAAGCCUUUACGUUUUGAUGAUUCCCCUUAAUAAGACUUCCCACUUCACUUACAGCUUACUUCCUUUCUACAACACCACCUAGGGCUGCUGAGUUAGAUUCCUUUAGCGCUGACCUGAGAUUACACUGAUUGACUUAGCGCCGAAGAAGCACAAAGAGCUUAUACUUUAAGAACAGAAUCGAAAUGAUUAAGUCGUACCUGAACCCUUACCUUGAACCUGUGGCUUCUGCUGACG
Molecule: long non-coding RNA, 306 nt
Filed under: Musa acuminata (dwarf banana)
Lineage: Eukaryota; Viridiplantae; Streptophyta; Magnoliopsida; Zingiberales; Musaceae
Description: long non-coding RNA (MACU_LNC004587)
Source: RNAcentral